CAGCCGCCGCGGGAAUACGAAGGGUGCAAGCGUUAAUCGGAAUUACUGGGCGUAAAGCGUGCGUAGGCGGUGAGUUAAGUCUGCUGUGAAAUCCCCGGGCUCAACCUGGGAACUGCGCUUGUGACUGCACAGCUAGAGUAUGGCAGAGGGGGGUGGAAUUCCACGUGUAGCAGUGAAAUGCGUAGAGAUGUGGAGGAACACCGAUGGCGAAGGCAGCCCCCUGGGCCAAUACUGACGCUCAUGCACGAAAGCGUGGGGAGCAAACAGGAUUAGAUACCCCUGUAGUCCCUGUCUCUUAUAC
This 301-nucleotide ribosomal RNA is filed under the name uncultured bacterium. Its description in RNAcentral is "partial 16S ribosomal RNA". It matches the Rfam family "Bacterial small subunit ribosomal RNA", at positions 509 to 807 of the family's 1533-position model. The record is from RNAcentral.